This 253-nucleotide ribosomal RNA is filed under the name uncultured bacterium. RNAcentral describes it as "partial 16S ribosomal RNA". It matches the Rfam family "Bacterial small subunit ribosomal RNA", at positions 524 to 776 of the family's 1533-position model. The record is from RNAcentral.
CACGUAGGGCGCAAGCGUUGUCCGGAAUUAUUGGGCGUAAAGAGCUCGUAGGUGGUUUGUUACGUCUGCUGUGAAAACCUAGGGCUUAACCCUGGGCUUGCAGUGGAUACGGGCAGACUAGAGGUAGGUAGGGGAGAAUGGAAUUCCUGGUGUAGCGGUGAAAUGCGCAGAUAUCAGGAGGAACACCGGUGGCGAAGGCGGGUUGCUGGGCUGACACUGACGCUGAUGCGCGAAAGCCAGGGGAGCGAACGGG